CCCUUAGAUGUUCUGGGCCGCACGCGCGCUACACUGACGAAUGCAACGAGCUUAUAACCUUGGCCGAAAGGUCUGGGUAAUCUCCAAAUUUCGUCGUGAUGGGGAUAGAUUAUUGCAAUUAUUAAUCUUCAACGAGGAAUGCCUAGUAAGCGCAAGUCAUCAGCUUGCGUUGAUUACGUCCCUGCCCUUUGUACACACCGCCCGUCGCUCCUACCGAUUGAAUGGUCCGGUGAAAUCCUCGGAUCGAGCCGUGGGGCAACUCCGGUUCGAGAAGUUGAUUAAACCUUACCAUUUAGAGGAAGGUGAANUCGUAACA
RNAcentral lists this ribosomal RNA (316 nucleotides) under uncultured eukaryote. RNAcentral's name for it is "partial 18S ribosomal RNA". It matches the Rfam family "Eukaryotic small subunit ribosomal RNA", at positions 1470 to 1796 of the family's 1831-position model. The record is from RNAcentral.